Molecule: ribosomal RNA, 460 nt
Filed under: uncultured bacterium
Lineage: Bacteria
Description: partial 16S ribosomal RNA
Rfam family: Bacterial small subunit ribosomal RNA
Source: RNAcentral
CCUACGGGAGGCAGCAGUGAGGAAUAUUGGUCAAUGGACGAGAGUCUGAACCAGCCAAGUAGCGUGAAGGAUGACUGCCCUAUGGGUUGUAAACUUCUUUUAUAUGGGAAUAAAACGUUCCACGUGUGGGAUUUUGUAUGUACCAUAUGAAUAAGGAUCGGCUAACUCCGUGCCAGCAGCCGCGGUACUACGGAGGAUCCGAGCGUUAUCCGGAUUUAUUGGGUUUAAAGGGAGCGUAGGUGGAUUGUUAAGUCAGUUGUGAAAGUUUGCGGCUCAACCGUAAAAUUGCAGUUGAAACUGGCAGUCUUGAGUACAAUAGAGGUGGGCAGAAUUCGUGGUGUAGCGGUGAAAUGCUUAGAUAUCACGAAGAACUCCGAUUGCGAAGGCAGUUCACUGGACUGCAACUGACACUGAGGCUCGAAAGUGUGGGUAUCAAACAGGAUUAGAUACCCCAGUAGUC